Long non-coding RNA from Leopardus geoffroyi (Geoffroy's cat), 1576 nucleotides. RefSeq lists it as uncharacterized. Lineage: Eukaryota; Metazoa; Chordata; Mammalia; Carnivora; Felidae. The transcript is spliced from 4 exons. The record is from RefSeq and is a predicted model, not a curated record.
ACCAGGUUGUUGCCAAGCCGGCCCUGAGUCCAGGCCCCUCAGGGGACCAUGCGGAGCUGAGCGAGCUGCCCAACCCCGCGUCCUGAGUCAUGAGAUCAGGCGGGGUUAUAAAACCACCCUUGCCCACACUCUGUUUUGUGGCACGUCCGAUGUUUUAGAAAUACCGGAGGUCUAAAUUCUGUACGCAGUUUUAAAAAAUCUGGUGAUUUGAAAUGUACUGACUUGCGUUUCAACCCUGGGAGUAAACGUCCUUUUCGGUGCCCUGCCGGACCUUCGCUUCACCAACUGUGCGGGCUCGGCGAGAGGUGGACCUGGUCUGGAGACACAGGCACCCGCAGGGUGGCCUACAGGUCGGCCGCUGGCCCCCUGCGCUUCUGUCCUGCCCCAACCUCAACAAUUAUGACGUUUGAAAAUUUUCCGCUUUUCAAAUAACAAUAAUAAGCAUUCGUGAAAAACCCGAAGUACUUUAUGUCACCACCUGGAAGCCAGCUAAAGUGCCCACUGCGAAAACAAGGAAGAAAAUAAGAAAAUAUGCCCCGAAGAGAAAGAAUUAAAAAUCGACUCUUCUCUGGGAGAAAAUGAAAUCGAGAAGCUCAAGACCAGGACCUCUGAGAAAUGAGUGUAUUUGGGAAAAGGUUUGAUUUUCCAGCCACUGGUGCCUCAGCUUUGGGCUUUCCAUUUGCUGGGCUUCUCCUAACACCUCCGGCACCCAGCAGCGUGUUCACGGGGUCACCUGCUUCUGGUAAACUGCGCACAUGGGAUAUUUUGGCUGCUGCGGUCAAGACACUACCUCUCUGCACUUGAACUUCCCUUUUGUCACACUUCCCUGAUGUCAAGUAGCACGGGCGAGUCCAGGGGAGUUUUGGAGAUCUGUCUUCUUAAAAGAGAAGCUGAGUUGGAGACCUAUGUAUAUAUUUAAUCUCUCAGUGUCUCCCAUGUAUAUAGUUAAGUCAUGGUCAUCGGUCCUGAUCCAGGAAGGGCUUCCAGGAAUUCUCCUGCCAUGCACCUGCUGACUUACCCAGCUCAGACAGAGGUCCAGGGCUACGGGAUAUCACCAUGUGAACGGGUCCUCCAGCACCAGACCUCGGACGCAGGUGGGCCACGGAGGAGAAACCCAGUUUGACAUGAGGAGUCACCCUGUGGGAAGCUUUCUAGCAUCAGGCAUGGAAAUUGAACUGUUCUCCAGUGUUUCACUGACCCUUAAAGCCAAGUAAAACCACAUUGGGAAAGUAGCCUUUGGUCUGAAUCGGACCGAAGAAACCUAAGAAGUAUGGCGAACUAGGAGGCAGCAGCUUCAUGGAUAGCAGAGCUCCCCUAGGCUUCCUCCAGACCCUUGCGGUAGUGAGCCCUGGCUGAAACUGCCACCAUUCAUGGAUGGACACCAAGGAUCCCAUCUGGUAAAAGGACCACAGGCCAGAGUGACAUGGCCAGCAUGGGUUGGCCUGUAGUCUAUCCCAGGAAUUCAGGGUUCUUUCCUGAAUUCCUUUUGAAACAGUGAUCCCAACAAACAGACCGUGUGGAGCAUGUUUGUCGUCCGAAGCCUUCAAAGCUAAAAGUCGUAUGAUGUUGAUCACGA